Molecule: ribosomal RNA, 301 nt
Filed under: uncultured bacterium
Lineage: Bacteria
Description: partial 16S ribosomal RNA
Rfam family: Bacterial small subunit ribosomal RNA
Source: RNAcentral
CAGCAGCCGCGGUAAUACAGAGGGUGCGAGCGUUAAUCGGAUUUACUGGGCGUAAAGCGUGCGUAGGCGGCUUUUUAAGUCGGAUGUGAAAUCCCUGAGCUUAACUUAGGAAUUGCAUUCGAUACUGGGAAGCUAGAGUAUGGGAGAGGAUGGUAGAAUUCCAGGUGUAGCGGUGAAAUGCGUAGAGAUCUGGAGGAAUACCGAUGGCGAAGGCAGCCAUUUGGCCUAAUACUGACGCUGAGGUACGAAAGCAUGGGGAGCAAACAGGAUUAGAUACCCGCGUAGUCCCUGUCUCUUAUAC